AACGAACGCUGGCGGCAUGCCUAACACAUGCAAGUCGAACGAGACCUUCGGGUCUAGUGGCGCACGGGUGCGUAACGCGUGGGAACCUGCCCUUAGGUUCGGAAUAACUCCCCGAAAGGGGUGCUAAUACCGGAUAAUGUCUUCGGACCAAAGAUUUAUCGCCUUUGGAUGGGCCCGCGUUGGAUUAGCUAGUUGGUAGGGUAAAAGCCUACCAAGGCGACGAUCCAUAGCUGGUCUGAGAGGAUGAUCAGCCACACUGGGACUGAGACACGGCCCAGACUCCUACGGGAGGCAGCAGUGGGGAAUAUUGGACAAUGGACGAAAGCCUGAUCCAGCAAUGCCGCGUGAGUGAUGAAGGCCUUAGGGUUGUAAAGCUCUUUUACCCGGGAUGAUAAUGGCAGUACCGGGAGAAUAAGCUCCGGCUAACUCCGUG
Molecule: ribosomal RNA, 433 nt
Filed under: uncultured bacterium
Lineage: Bacteria
Description: partial 16S ribosomal RNA
Rfam family: Bacterial small subunit ribosomal RNA
Source: RNAcentral